AAAAGUCGUAACAAGGUUUCCGUAGGUGAACCUGCGGAAGGAUCAUUAAUGAAAGCUUCGGCUUACUUUGAUAUUUAAACCCCCUUAUGUUGACUGUACCAUGGUCUUUCUACUAGUGUUACUUUAUAUUAGUGGAUGGCAUGAUACAAAAACCUUUGUGUAAUCAGCUAUGUCUGUCUGAAAAAUAUAUGAAUUAUUUUAAAACUUUCAACAACGGAUCUCUUGGCUCCU
This 231-nucleotide unclassified non-coding RNA is filed under the name fungal sp. RNAcentral's name for it is "partial internal transcribed spacer region". The stretch from base 1 to 48 matches the Rfam family "Eukaryotic small subunit ribosomal RNA", at positions 1784 to 1831 of the family's 1831-position model. Lineage: Eukaryota; Fungi. The record is from RNAcentral.